Molecule: ribosomal RNA, 253 nt
Filed under: uncultured bacterium
Lineage: Bacteria
Description: partial 16S ribosomal RNA
Rfam family: Bacterial small subunit ribosomal RNA
Source: RNAcentral
UACGUAGGGUGCAAGCGUUGUCCGGAAUUAUUGGGCGUAAAGAGCUCGUAGGCGGUCUGUUGCGUCGGCUGUGAAAACCCGGGGCUCAGCCCCGGGCCUGCAGCCGAUACGGGCAGACUAGAGUUCGGCAGGGGAGACUGGAAUUCCUGGUGUAGCGGUGAAAUGCGCAGAUAUCAGGAGGAACACCGGUGGCGAAGGCGGGUCGCUGGGCCGAUACUGACGCUGAGGAGCGAAAGCGUGGGGAGCGAACAGG